RNAcentral lists this ribosomal RNA (2771 nucleotides) under Klebsiella pneumoniae. Its description in RNAcentral is "bacterial LSU rRNA". It matches the Rfam family "Bacterial large subunit ribosomal RNA". Lineage: Bacteria; Pseudomonadati; Pseudomonadota; Gammaproteobacteria; Enterobacterales; Enterobacteriaceae. RNAcentral also lists the same sequence under 1 other name. The record is from RNAcentral.
AGCGUACACGGUGGAUGCCCUGGCAGUCAGAGGCGAUGAAGGACGUGCUAAUCUGCGAAAAGCGUCGGUAAGGUGAUAUGAACCGUUAUAACCGGCGAUGUCCGAAUGGGGAAACCCAGUGCAAUUCGUUGCACUAUCGUUAACUGAAUACAUAGGUUAACGAGGCGAACCGGGGGAACUGAAACAUCUAAGUACCCCGAGGAAAAGAAAUCAACCGAGAUUCCCCCAGUAGCGGCGAGCGAACGGGGAGCAGCCCAGAGUCUGAAUCAGCUUGUGUGUUAGUGGAACGGUCUGGAAAGUCCGACGGUACAGGGUGAUAGUCCCGUACACCAAAAUGCACAGGCUGUGAACUCGAAGAGUAGGGCGGGACACGUGGUAUCCUGUCUGAAUAUGGGGGGACCAUCCUCCAAGGCUAAAUACUCCUGACUGACCGAUAGUGAACCAGUACCGUGAGGGAAAGGCGAAAAGAACCCCGGCGAGGGGAGUGAAAAAGAACCUGAAACCGUGUACGUACAAGCAGUGGGAGCACCUUCGGGUGUGACUGCGUACCUUUUGUAUAAUGGGUCAGCGACUUAUAUUCUGUAGCAAGGUUAACCGUAUAGGGGAGCCGCAGGGAAACCGAGUCUUAACUGGGCGUUAAGUUGCAGGGUAUAGACCCGAAACCCGGUGAUCUAGCCAUGGGCAGGUUGAAGGUUGGGUAACACUAACUGGAGGACCGAACCGACUAAUGUUGAAAAAUUAGCGGAUGACUUGUGGCUGGGGGUGAAAGGCCAAUCAAACCGGGAGAUAGCUGGUUCUCCCCGAAAGCUAUUUAGGUAGCGCCUCGUGAACUCAUCUUCGGGGGUAGAGCACUGUUUCGGCUAGGGGGUCAUCCCGACUUACCAACCCGAUGCAAACUACGAAUACCGAAGAAUGUUAUCACGGGAGACACACGGCGGGUGCUAACGUCCGUCGUGAAGAGGGAAACAACCCAGACCGCCAGCUAAGGUCCCAAAGUCAUGGUUAAGUGGGAAACGAUGUGGGAAGGCACAGACAGCCAGGAUGUUGGCUUAGAAGCAGCCAUCAUUUAAAGAAAGCGUAAUAGCUCACUGGUCGAGUCGGCCUGCGCGGAAGAUGUAACGGGGCUAAACCAUGCACCGAAGCUGCGGCAGCGACACUAUGUGUUGUUGGGUAGGGGAGCGUUCUGUAAGCCUGCGAAGGUGUGCUGUGAGGCAUGCUGGAGGUAUCAGAAGUGCGAAUGCUGACAUAAGUAACGAUAAAGCGGGUGAAAAGCCCGCUCGCCGGAAGACCAAGGGUUCCUGUCCAACGUUAAUCGGGGCAGGGUGAGUCGACCCCUAAGGCGAGGCCGAAAGGCGUAGUCGAUGGGAAACAGGUUAAUAUUCCUGUACUUGGUGUUACUGCGAAGGGGGGACGGAGAAGGCUAUGUUAGCCGGGCGACGGUUGUCCCGGUUUAAGCAUGUAGGCUGGUUAUCCAGGCAAAUCCGGAUAAUCAAGGCUGAGGUGUGAUGACGAGGCACUACGGUGCUGAAGUAACAAAUGCCCUGCUUCCAGGAAAAGCCUCUAAGCAUCAGGUAACAUCAAAUCGUACCCCAAACCGACACAGGUGGUCAGGUAGAGAAUACCAAGGCGCUUGAGAGAACUCGGGUGAAGGAACUAGGCAAAAUGGUGCCGUAACUUCGGGAGAAGGCACGCUGGUGUGUAGGUGAAGUCCCUGCGGAUGGAGCUGAGACCAGUCGAAGAUACCAGCUGGCUGCAACUGUUUAUUAAAAACACAGCACUGUGCAAACACGAAAGUGGACGUAUACGGUGUGACGCCUGCCCGGUGCCGGAAGGUUAAUUGAUGGGGUUAUCCGUAAGGAGAAGCUCUUGAUCGAAGCCCCGGUAAACGGCGGCCGUAACUAUAACGGUCCUAAGGUAGCGAAAUUCCUUGUCGGGUAAGUUCCGACCUGCACGAAUGGCGUAAUGAUGGCCAGGCUGUCUCCACCCGAGACUCAGUGAAAUUGAACUCGCUGUGAAGAUGCAGUGUACCCGCGGCAAGACGGAAAGACCCCGUGAACCUUUACUAUAGCUUGACACUGAACAUUGAGCCUUGAUGUGUAGGAUAGGUGGGAGGCUUUGAAGCGUGGACGCCAGUCUGCGUGGAGCCAACCUUGAAAUACCACCCUUUAAUGUUUGAUGUUCUAACGUUGGCCCCUGACCGGGGUUGCGGACAGUGUCUGGUGGGUAGUUUGACUGGGGCGGUCUCCUCCCAAAGCGUAACGGAGGAGCACGAAGGUUAGCUAAUCCUGGUCGGACAUCAGGAGGUUAGUGCAAUGGCAUAAGCUAGCUUGACUGCGAGCGUGACGGCGCGAGCAGGUGCGAAAGCAGGUCAUAGUGAUCCGGUGGUUCUGAAUGGAAGGGCCAUCGCUCAACGGAUAAAAGGUACUCCGGGGAUAACAGGCUGAUACCGCCCAAGAGUUCAUAUCGACGGCGGUGUUUGGCACCUCGAUGUCGGCUCAUCACAUCCUGGGGCUGAAGUAGGUCCCAAGGGUAUGGCUGUUCGCCAUUUAAAGUGGUACGCGAGCUGGGUUUAGAACGUCGUGAGACAGUUCGGUCCCUAUCUGCCGUGGGCGCUGGAGAAUUGAGGGGGGCUGCUCCUAGUACGAGAGGACCGGAGUGGACGCAUCACUGGUGUUCGGGUUGUCAUGCCAAUGGCACUGCCCGGUAGCUAAAUGCGGAAGAGAUAAGUGCUGAAAGCAUCUAAGCACGAAACUUGCCCCGAGAUGAGUUCU